GUGGGGAAUUUUGGACAAUGGGCGCAAGCCUGAUCCAGCAAUGCCGCGUGCAGGAAGAAGGCCUUCGGGUUGUAAACUGCUUUUGUACGGAACGAAACGGCUCUGGUUAAUACCCGGGGCUAAUGACGGUACCGUAAGAAUAAGCACCGGCUAACUACGUGCCAGCAGCCGCGGUAAUACGUAGGGUGCAAGCGUUAAUCGGAAUUACUGGGCGUAAAGCGUGCGCAGGCGGUUGUGUAAGACAGGCGUGAAAUCCCCGGGCUCAACCUGGGAAUUGCGCUUGUGACUGCACAGCUGGAGUGCGGCAGAGGGGGAUGGAAUUCCGCGUGUAGCAGUGAAAUGCGUAGAUAUGCGGAGGAACACCGAUGGCGAAGGCAAUCCCCUGGGCCUGCACUGACGCUCAUGCACGAAAGCGUGGGGAGCAAACAGGAUUAGAAACCCCGGUAGUCC
Molecule: ribosomal RNA, 450 nt
Filed under: uncultured bacterium
Lineage: Bacteria
Description: bacterial SSU rRNA
Rfam family: Bacterial small subunit ribosomal RNA
Source: RNAcentral